RNAcentral lists this ribosomal RNA (427 nucleotides) under uncultured bacterium. Its description in RNAcentral is "bacterial SSU rRNA". It matches the Rfam family "Bacterial small subunit ribosomal RNA", at positions 355 to 774 of the family's 1533-position model. The record is from RNAcentral.
UGGGGAAUUUUGGACAAUGGACGCAAGUCUGAUCCAGCCAUGCCGCGUGCGGGAAGAAGGCCUUCGGGUUGUAAACUGCUUUUGUACGGAACGAAACGGUCUUUUCUAAUACAGAAGGCUAAUGACGGUACCGUAAGAAUAAGCACCGGCUAACUACGUGCCAGCAGCCGCGGUAAUACGCAGGGUGUGAGCGUUAAUCGGAAUUACUGGGCGUAAAGCGUGCGCAGGCGGUUAUAUAAGACAGAUGUGAAAUCCCCGGGCUCCACCUGGGAACUGCCUUUGUGACUGUAUAGCUAGAGUACGGCAGAGGGGGAUGGAAUUCCGCGUGUAGCAGUGAAAUGCGUAGAUAUGCGGAGGAACACCGAUGGCGAAGGCAAUCCCCUGGGCCUGUACUGACGCUCAUGCACGAAAGCGUGGGGAGCAAACA